GACGUAGGGGACGAGCGUUGUCCGGAUUCAUUGGGCGUAAAGCGCGCGUAGGCGGUUCGGCAAGUCGGAUGUGAAAACACGAGGCUCAACCUCGUGCGUGCAUCCGAUACUGCCGGACUAGAGGUAGGUAGGGGAGAUCGGAAUUCCUGGUGUAGCGGUGAAAUGCGCAGAUAUCAGGAGGAACACCGGUGGCGAAGGCGGAUCUCUGGGCCUGACCUGACGCUGAGGCGCGAAAGCUAGGGGAGCAAACAGG
Molecule: ribosomal RNA, 253 nt
Filed under: uncultured bacterium
Lineage: Bacteria
Description: partial 16S ribosomal RNA
Rfam family: Bacterial small subunit ribosomal RNA
Source: RNAcentral